UGGAUCAUGCUGUUUAAUUUCGAUGAUACGCGAAGAACCUUUACCAGGUCUUGACAUCCCUUGCAGAGCUAUGGAGACAUAGUGGAGGUUAUCAAGGAGACAGGUGGUGCAUGGUUGUCGUCAGCUCGUGUCGUGAGAUGUUGGGUUAAGUCCCGCAACGAGCGCAACCCUUAUUGCUAGUUACCAUCAUUAAUUGGGGACUCUAGCGAGACUGCCAGUGAUAAACUGGAGGAAGGUGGGGAUGACGUCAAAUCAUCAUGCCCCUUAUGACCUGGGCUACAAACGUGAUACAAUGGCUGAAACAAAGGGCAGCGAAGCAGUGAUGUGGAGCGAAACCCAAAAAAGCAGUCUCAGUUCGGAUUGAAGUCUGCAACUCGACCUCAUGAAGUUGGAAUCGCUAGUAAUCGUAGAUCAGAACGCUACGGUGAAUACGUUCUCGGGUUU
This 444-nucleotide ribosomal RNA is filed under the name uncultured Acholeplasma sp. Its description in RNAcentral is "bacterial SSU rRNA". It matches the Rfam family "Bacterial small subunit ribosomal RNA", at positions 933 to 1381 of the family's 1533-position model. Lineage: Bacteria; Bacillati; Mycoplasmatota; Mollicutes; Acholeplasmatales; Acholeplasmataceae. The record is from RNAcentral.